RNAcentral lists this ribosomal RNA (1356 nucleotides) under Triticum aestivum (bread wheat). RNAcentral's name for it is "partial small subunit ribosomal RNA". Lineage: Eukaryota; Viridiplantae; Streptophyta; Magnoliopsida; Poales; Poaceae. The record is from RNAcentral.
AUGGACGCGCCCCUGCCUCCGCCCGCUUACGCCGACGGCGAGCAGACGGACUUCGUCCUCAUCGAGAAAUUCGGCUACGUCGCCGACCGCGAAGACGCCACCACCGCCACCUGCCUCCUGCAGGGUCCCGACCUCAAGGGCAGCAUCAAGGUCACAUUCUGCGCCGCCUGCCCGCCGCGCGUCUCCUACUUCUGCGUCCACGCCACCGAGUACGACCGCGCCGACUUGGACCUCGGCCCGGCCAUCCUCGCCACGGAGGGCCCUCUCGUCCUCCUCAGCGCCAUGCUGCCCAGUCCAUCCGACAUGUUCCAUCCCGUGACGAAACAGUAUUUCGUCUACCACGCCGGCACCGACGACACCGACGGGGAGGGGAAGAAGGCGAGCCGCCCGUCACUCAAGCACCUCCCUAACCCUGGCCGCUACCACGAAUUCGAGGAAGCCUCGGCUACCCUCUUGCGGACCUGCAGCAAGCAUCAUAGCUCCAGCGGCUCCACCCUGCACCCCCAUGGAGCCAACCAGAACGACCACGACUGCGAGGCAUGCGAGUUCGUUAUCGUCGCAAAGCGUUCUGCGCGCGUGAGAAGGACACAGCACGAGCUCUGCCUGUACCACUCGGAGAAGCAGGCCUGGAGCAUCAAGACAGCCAAAGUAUCGGGGGAUGCUCCGUACAAUCACCACUGGACGGACAAAGCAAUUGCCAUUGGAGGGGAUGACGGCGUGGUGGCAUGGGUCAAUCUUGGCCGGGACAUUCUCUUCUGCGACGUGCUCGCCGAGACCCCCACACUCUGCCCCGUCGAGCUGCCGCCGCUGAUCCCGGCAAGCAAGGGAGUUGGGACCGGUGACCCAAGAUGCAGCCGGGACGUCACCAUUGCCGAUGGUUUCAUCCGCUACACCCAGCUGCAGAUCCGGAUCGUUCCGGGCUCGUUCAUGGACGAUGGAGCCGUCACAUUCGAUGGCUGGAAAGCUGCCAAAUGCAGCAUGGCGAUCGACGCCCGCUCGUUGCCUUUGGCCGAGGCGUCUUGGCAGCAGCACACGGGCCUCCUCGAGCUCGAUUCCUCGCAGAUUUCCAUGUUGCUGCCGAGUCUUGUGGUCGAUGAGGGUAGCACCAUAGCGUUCGAGAGACUGCACGUUGGCCUGCCCACCCUGAGCCUGCUAGAUGACGACAUUGUUUAUUUCCUCGCCAAGAUCGACUACCGGGACGUGGAACACACAGCAUAUGUGCUUGCUCUUGACUUGAGAAACAAGACGAUGAAGAGCGUUGCUGAGUUUGGAGCCAAAAACACAAUUGGUUUGGGCCAGGCGUUUAUUGCAAGUACCAUCUCCAAAUAUAUCUCAAAGUUGCUCCAGGGUAAUUGA